RNAcentral lists this long non-coding RNA (284 nucleotides) under Elaeis guineensis (African oil palm). RNAcentral describes it as "long non-coding RNA (EGUI_LNC015369)". Lineage: Eukaryota; Viridiplantae; Streptophyta; Magnoliopsida; Arecales; Arecaceae. The record is from RNAcentral.
CAUCGUCGAGAUCCGAUAAAAUACUGCUUUUAUCAUCGCGACCAUGGCCACAAUACUAAAGACUACCACCAGCUUCACGAUGAGAUCAAGAGGUUCGUUAGGCAAGGAUGGCUGAAUCAUUUUGUUCGGAGAGCAGCCCCCCAAUGUCGAGCUCUGAGAGUUCAGCAGCCACCCCCUAUGCCUCAACAGCCUCUACUUCUGUCUCAGCCGUAGCAAGCGCCAGUGCGGCAAGAGCGACAAUAGGUCAAAAAACAGGUGGUGGAAGAAGAGCGAUCUAUCCAUGG